CCUACGGGAGGCAGCAGUGGGGAAUAUUGGACAAUGGGGGAAACCCUGAUCCAGCGACGCCGCGUGAGUGAAGAAGUAUUUCGGUAUGUAAAGCUCUAUCAGCAGGGAAGAAAGAAAUGACAGUACCUUACUAAGAAUCCCCGGCUAACUACGUGCCAGCCGCCGCGGUAAUACGUAGGGGGGCAGCGUUAUCCGGAUUUACUGGGUGUAAAGGGAGCGUAGACGGGGAUGCAAGUCUGAAGUGAAAGGCGGGGGCUCAACCCCCGGACUGCUUUGGAAACUGUAUGGCUGGAGUGCAGGAGAGGUAAGUGGAAUUCCUAGUGUAGCGGUGAAAUGCGUAGAUAUUAGGAGGAACACCAGUGGCGAAGGCGGCUUACUGGACUGUAACUGACGUUGAGGCUCGAAAGCGUGGGGAGCAAACAGGAUUAGAUACCCCAGUAGUC
This 443-nucleotide ribosomal RNA is filed under the name uncultured bacterium. RNAcentral describes it as "partial 16S ribosomal RNA". It matches the Rfam family "Bacterial small subunit ribosomal RNA", at positions 338 to 795 of the family's 1533-position model. The record is from RNAcentral.